RNAcentral lists this ribosomal RNA (481 nucleotides) under uncultured bacterium. Its description in RNAcentral is "partial 16S ribosomal RNA". It matches the Rfam family "Bacterial small subunit ribosomal RNA", at positions 28 to 507 of the family's 1533-position model. The record is from RNAcentral.
GACGAACGCUGGCGGCGUGCUUAACACAUGCAAGUCGAACGAUGAUGCUCCAGCUUGCUGGGGUGGAUUAGUGGCGAACGGGUGAGUAACACGUGAGUAACCUGCCCCCUUCUUCGGGAUAAGCUUGGGAAACUGGGUCUAAUACUGGAUAUUCUGCAAUUGUCGCAUGGUGGUUGUGGGAAAGAUUUUUUGGUGGGGGAUGGGCUCGCGGCCUAUCAGCUUGUUGGUGGGGUGAUGGCCUACCAAGGCGUCGACGGGUAGCCGGCCUGAGAGGGUGACCGGCCACACUGGGACUGAGAUACGGCCCAGACUCCGACGGGAGGCAGCAGUGGGGAAUAUUGCACAAUGGGCGCAAGCUUGAUGCAGCGACGCCGCGUGAGGGAUGACGGCUUUCGGGUUGUAAACCUCUUUCGAUGGGGAACAAGGCCAUAUUUUUGUGUGGUUGAGGGUACCUGUAUAAGAAGCGCCGGCUAACUACGUG